ACAGGGUCUUUGCAGAUGUAAUCAAGUUUAAAUGAAGUCACAGUGAGUUAGCGUGGGCUCUAAUCCAAUGACUGGUGCCCUUAUAAAGGAGAGGAGGUUUAGUCACAGAGAGAGGAGAACACCAUGUUACAAUGGAAACAGACUGCAGUGAUAUGUCCACCUGCCGAGGCACGCCAAGGACUGUCAGCAAUCUGCAGGAGCCGGGAGAACAGGUCAGAAGGAACUAACCCUGACAACACUUCGAUUCAGGAACCUCUAGCCUCCCAAACUGAAAAUGAUCAUCUCUUCGGGGAAUGAUUGUCAGUAAGUCACUGGAUUUCUUGAGCAAUACGUAAAAGUUUUGGCCAAUGGCAAGAGAAAAAUGUUAUCAGUGGUUGCAAAGUUCAGAUAAUUUUAUCACCAAGUGGAUUAAACCAUAUUAUGAUAACCAAAA
Long non-coding RNA from Odocoileus virginianus texanus, 433 nucleotides. RefSeq lists it as uncharacterized. Lineage: Eukaryota; Metazoa; Chordata; Mammalia; Artiodactyla; Cervidae. The record is from RefSeq and is a predicted model, not a curated record.